UCCCCAGGACAUUCCCACCUGGACACCGGACAGCAGCAGUAACUACUUCUUGAGCUGCUUCAGGAGGCUCUUCAGGUCUGAGAUCUCACGCCAGAUGUCCAGACAAGAGAGGGAGCACGGAAGGGAGAAAAAUGCCAAUGACCCCAGGGAUGCCAUGGUGGCAGAAGCUUGAGGACAUUUCUUGAUAUUCUUAGUUUCUGAAUGUUUUCACCAUGAAUUAGUGCUGAAUUUUGUCAAAUGUUUUUUCUGUGCCUAUUGAGAUCAUUAUGUGAUGCGUUUUUCUCCCUUUAUUUUAUUAAUGUGGUGUGUUCCAUUGAUUGUUUUAGACAUAUUGAACUACCCUUUUAUUCCUGGGUGAGUACCACUUGAUUCUGACAUACAA
Molecule: long non-coding RNA, 382 nt
Organism: Myotis daubentonii (Daubenton's bat)
Lineage: Eukaryota; Metazoa; Chordata; Mammalia; Chiroptera; Vespertilionidae
Source: RefSeq, a predicted model, not a curated record